Scaptodrosophila lebanonensis is the source of this 442-nucleotide long non-coding RNA. RefSeq lists it as uncharacterized. The record is from RefSeq and is a predicted model, not a curated record. The transcript is spliced from 2 exons. NCBI's taxonomy places the organism in Eukaryota, Metazoa, Arthropoda, Insecta, Diptera, Drosophilidae.
GCCGACAAAAGUUUUAAACAUUUCCCUAAUUUGUUUUCUGUUGUAAUUGCAAUGAAACAAUAAUGGAAACUCAUUUGAAUCCUUCGCAGUUGCAGUGCUCAUUAGUUUUGCUCACUUUUCGGAACAGGAUAACAGAAUUGAGGACCUGGACUAUGCACAGUUAAGGAGUCCAUAUAUCCUUCGCAGUUGCAGUGCUCAUUAGUUUUGCUCACUUUUCGGAACAGGAUAACAGAAUUGAGGACCUGGACUUUGCACAGUUAAGGAGUCCAUAUACUUGUAGAAAUCAUCUUAUGUAUAACCGAAUUAAACCUAGUGAUGGAGCGGCCAGUUGUUUUUCAUCCUGCGGCAAAAGCAAAAAAGAGCUUUCAAAAUUAUUUAAAAUUUGUUUAGUUGAUGAAAAAAAUUGUUGUUUAACGUAAUGUGAACGCUUUUUCAAAGUUGA